Molecule: long non-coding RNA, 1356 nt
Filed under: Dromaius novaehollandiae (emu)
Lineage: Eukaryota; Metazoa; Chordata; Aves; Casuariiformes; Dromaiidae
Description: lncRNA (ENSDNVG00000016144.1)
Source: RNAcentral
GGCAAUAGGCAUUUUGUGGUAUAACUCCUUCAUUAAAAAUAUUGUGAAAAGAGCAAUUGUGAAAAGAGCGAUUAAAUUUUGCACAUUGAUCAGAAUAAGGAUAUUCUGCAGAGCUUUUUCAUUACAUUGUUGCCAGAAUGAGUUUUAAUGUCACCCUUCAUUUUCAUAUGAAACAUUGUAUACAUAGGAAAUACAAAAUUUACAUCAGGUCUAGCUACUUAGAUAAUAAUGUUUUAAGUUUAUACAAGUAUGUUUAUAUUUUCUUUAACUUUUAAAAGUUGAAAAUAUUGCCUGAAAUUUCCCAGAGCAAAGCUUUGGUAUUGGACAUCCCUAAAGUUUAAGAAUAACAUGAACUGUAUGCAAAUUUAAUCUAGUCCAAAGCUUCUGUUCACAACUCUUCCUACUUUACCACUUGGUCUUGGAACUCGUAUAUGUUCCACAGAAUUUAUUCGAUAUGUGUUCCUUAGGCAAAGCUUAUGAACUCUCUUUCUAAAGCUUUACUAAUUUGUAUUUGAACACUGAAUGAAACAUUAGUUUCUUUGAAGACAAUGGCAAAACUGUCAUUUGCCUCACUUGGGUGCACAUUUCACUAUAUACGCUUACAGCUGUGGCUUACCCGUAUGUCCAGAUAUCUGUUAUGCCCAUAUAUUCAGCUGGUGAAGACAAACCUUCCCAAAAGAGCGUAUCUUUGCUUACUUACUUGUACUUUAUUUAUACCAUACAGCUAGCACUGAUCCAGAACUUUCAGUUGUGCAAUACCCUGAAGAUGCCAGUGUGCUUCUUAACUCAACAGUGUGGAUGCUGUGUGUAUUUGAGUACCCAGAGGAGGAGAACGAGAUGCCAGUUGUGUACUGGAGGAAGGGCCCUGACUACAAUAAUUUGCAGAGUCUUCAGUCAAGCACUGGAGCUGCUAGGCCGCAUGUACGCAUUAUAAAGAACGUACUCAAGGGAUUCUCCAUCUUGAAACUGAGCAAUGUUGAUCACAGUGCCAGUAAUUCAUAUUUCUGUGAUGUGACACUAACUCAGAACGUCCAGAGCAAACGUGGAAGUGGCACCAACCUGACCGUACAUGACUUAAAAUGCAAAGACUGUAUAAGAUCAGACAAGACCUGGUGGGGUUGGUUUCUUCUUCUUGGAUACACCAUCUUUGUCACCACAGUUAUCAUAGCUUUCAUUAUUCAUCAGGGCUGUAAAAAGUGCAAGAACAGGUCAAGAAACACAGAUAGCAGCGCCACCUCACCAAGUGACUGGAUUUACGACAAGCCAUCCAGACCAGUAAACAAUGGGUUUAAUCAAGAAUAUGUAGACAUGUCGCUAAUAAGGACUUUCACUGACACUGGAAGGAAGAUGAUAUGA